Molecule: ribosomal RNA, 306 nt
Filed under: uncultured bacterium
Lineage: Bacteria
Description: bacterial SSU rRNA
Rfam family: Bacterial small subunit ribosomal RNA
Source: RNAcentral
GACGAACGCUGGCGGCGUGCUUAACACAUGCAAGUCGAGCGGUAAGGCCCUUUCGGGGGUACACGAGCGGCGAACGGGUGAGUAACACGUGGGUGACCUGCCCUCAGCUCUGGGAUAAGCCUGGGAAACCGGGUCUAAUACCGGAUAUGACUCCAUGACGCAUGGUUGUGGGGUGGAAAGCCUUGUGCGGCUGAGGAUGGGCCCGCGGCCUAUCAGCUUGGUUGGUGGGGUGAUGGCCUACCAAGGCGACGACGGGUAGCCGGCCUGAGAGGGCGACCGGCCACACUGGGACUGAGACACGGCCCA